Molecule: ribosomal RNA, 423 nt
Filed under: uncultured bacterium
Lineage: Bacteria
Description: bacterial SSU rRNA
Rfam family: Bacterial small subunit ribosomal RNA
Source: RNAcentral
CGAGAAUUUUUCUCAAUGGGGGAAACCCUGAAGGAGCGACGCCGCGUGGAGGAUGAAGGUCUUCGGAUUGUAAACUCCUGUCAUUGGUGAACAAAGCCACAGGUUAACUGCCUUGUGGUUUGCUAGUAGCCGAAGAGGAAGGGACGGCUAACUCUGUGCCAGCAGCCGCGGUAAUACAGAGGUCCCAAGCGUUGUUCGGAUUUAUUGGGCGUAAAGGGUGCGUAGGCGGUGGAGUAAGUUGGAUGUGAAAUCUUGGGGCUUAACCUCAAAAUUGCAUUCAAUACUGCUUCGCUCGAGUUCUGUAGAGGAGAUUGGAAUUUACGGUGUAGCAGUGAAAUGCGUAGAUAUCGUAAGGAACGCCAGUGGCGAAAGCGAAUCUCUGGGCAGCAACUGACGCUGAGGCACGAAGGCCAGGGGAGCAAA